GAUGAACGCUGGCGGCGUGCCUAAUACAUGCAAGUCGAGCGAACAGACGAGGAGCUUGCUCCUCUGACGUUAGCGGCGGACGGGUGAGUAACACGUGGAUAACCUACCUAUAAGACUGGGAUAACUUCGGGAAACCGGAGCUAAUACCGGAUAAUAUAUUGAACCGCAUGGUUCAAUAGUGAAAGACGGUUUUGCUGUCACUUAUAGAUGGAUCCGCGCCGCAUUAGCUAGUUGGUAAGGUAACGGCUUACCAAGGCAACGAUGCGUAGCCGACGUGAGAGGGUGGUCGGCCACACGGGAACUGAGACGCGGUCCAGACUCCUACGGGAGGCAGCAGUAGGGAAUCUUCCGCAAUGGGCGAAAGCCUGACGGAGCAACGCCGCGUGAGUGAUGAAGGUCUUCGGAGCGUAAUACUCUGUUAUUAGGGAAGAACAAAUGUGUAAGUAACUAUGCACGUCUUGACGGUACCUAAUCAGAAAGCCACGGCUAACUACGUG
RNAcentral lists this ribosomal RNA (497 nucleotides) under uncultured bacterium. RNAcentral describes it as "partial 16S ribosomal RNA". It matches the Rfam family "Bacterial small subunit ribosomal RNA", at positions 28 to 507 of the family's 1533-position model. The record is from RNAcentral.